UACAUGUGGGGCAAGCGUUGUUCGGAAUUACUGGGCGUAAAGCGUGCGCAGGCGGUUCGUUGUGUCGGUGGUGAAAUCCCCGGGCUUAACCUGGGAAUGGCCAUGGAAACUGGCGAACUGGAGUGCGGCAGAGGGGGGUGGAAUUCCGCGUAUAGCAGUGAAAUGCGUAGAGAUGCGGAGGAACACCGAUGGCGAAGGCAGCCCCCUGGGCUAGCACUGACGCUCAGGCACGAAAGCGUGGGGAGCAAACAGG
Molecule: ribosomal RNA, 253 nt
Filed under: uncultured bacterium
Lineage: Bacteria
Description: partial 16S ribosomal RNA
Rfam family: Bacterial small subunit ribosomal RNA
Source: RNAcentral